CCUCCCACCCGUGUUUAUUUUACCUUGUUGCUUCGGCGGGCCCGCCUUUACUGGCCGCCGGGGGGCUCACGCCCCCGGGCCCGCGCCCGCCGAAGACACCCUCGAACUCUGUCUGAAGAUUGUAGUCUGAGUGAAAAUAUAAAUUAUUUAAAACUUUCAACAACGGAUCUCUUGGUUCCGGCAUCGAUGAAGAACGCAGCGAAAUGCGAUACGUAAUGUGAAUUGCAAAUUCAGUGAAUCAUCGAGUCUUUGAACGCACAUUGCGCCCCCUGGUAUUCCGGGGGGCAUGCCUGUCCGAGCGUCAUUGCUGCCCUCAAGCACGGCUUGUGUGUUGGGCCCCGUCCUCCGAUUCCGGGGGACGGGCCCGAAAGGCAGCGGCGGCACCGCGUCCGGUCCUCGAGCGUAUGGGGCUUUGUCACCCGCUCUGUAGGCCCGGCCGGCGCUUGCCGAUCAACCCAAAUUUUUAUCCAGGUUGACCUCGGAUCAGGUAGGGAUACCCGCUGAACUUAAGCAUAUCAAUAA
Molecule: ribosomal RNA, 522 nt
Rfam family: 5.8S ribosomal RNA (bases 152-304)